Molecule: ribosomal RNA, 438 nt
Filed under: uncultured bacterium
Lineage: Bacteria
Description: bacterial SSU rRNA
Rfam family: Bacterial small subunit ribosomal RNA
Source: RNAcentral
UUACGGGAGGCAGCAGUAGGGAAUCUUCCGCAAUGGGCGAAAGCCUGACGGAGCAACGCCGCGUGAGUGAUGAAGGUCUUCGGAUCGUAAAGCUCUGUCUUCGGUGACGAAAAUGACGGUAGCCGAGGAGGAAGCCACGGCAAACUACGUGCCAGCAGCCGCGGUAAUACGUAGGUGGCAAGCGUUGUCCGGAAUUACUGGGCGUAAAGCGCGCGUAGACGGCUUAAUAAGUCAGAUGUGAAAGACCCGGGCUCAACCCGGGGGUUGCAUCUGAGACUGCUAAGCUUGAGUGCAGGAGAGGCAAGUGGAAUUCCCAGUGUAGCAGUGAAAUGCGUAGAUAUUGGGAGGAACACCAGUGGCGAAGGCGACUUGCUGGACUGUAACUGACGUUGAGGUGCGAAAGCUAGGGGAGCAAACGGGAUUAGAUACCCCGGUAGU